UUGGGUUAAAAAAUACGAAAAUAAUCUUUAUUCAAAGGAAGGGGGGGAAGAAAGAACCCGGCGCCACCGCCCCGAGAUCUGCCAUCUUUAAGGACCCUUCCACACCAACCACCCCGUGGCUCCGUUACGGCAGUCAUUAAGGGCUGAUGGCGGUCAUUAAGGACUGAUGGCGGUCAUUAAGGGCUGACGUCGGUCUGUCCCGGUGUUGUCAGUCAGUACAGACUGCUGUUGGCGCUGACGUGCUGUGACGUCAAUCAGAACGGACCAACAUUGGUGCUAUCGUGGUGUUGUGUCUGCUGAAACAGACGGAAAUCGGUGUCCUGUGCUGCGUCAGGCGGAACAGACUGACAUCAGUGGGAUCCGGCUGUUAUGUCAAUCAGAACAGGCUGACAUGGCUGUCUCUGUGCUGUGUCAGUCGGUACCGACUGAUGUUGGUGUCGUGGUCAUGUGUCAGUCGGUACAGACUGACAUCAGUGUGAUUGCGGUGUUUUGUCAAUCAGAACUGACUGACAUUGUCGUCUUUGUGCUGUGUCAGUCGGUACAGACUGACGUUGGUGUUCUCUUUGGCUUCUGUCAGUCGGUACAGCCAGAGUCAUCCCUGCUCUGUGUCAAUCAGAACAGCCUGACGUUGGUGUUCUCAUUGACUUCUGUCAGUCAGUUACAGCCUGACGCCGUCCCUGCGCUGUGUCAGUCGGUACAGACU
RNAcentral lists this long non-coding RNA (703 nucleotides) under Chrysolophus pictus (golden pheasant). RNAcentral describes it as "lncRNA (ENSCPIG00010012177.1)". The record is from RNAcentral. Lineage: Eukaryota; Metazoa; Chordata; Aves; Galliformes; Phasianidae.